UGGGUGUGAGAGGAGGCCAGGCUGCUCCAGAUCUGCUCCAGUCUGUGGAGGCAGAUGGACCUGGAUCAGGCUCCACUAGGUGGGGCCUGUAGCUGCUCUCUGCUCUGCAGAGCUGAGGGGAGAGCAGAGCCGCUGGCAGACACUGAACUCCUCACUUCCUUUCUUUCUUUCUCCUCUAGCAGAGCAGCGGGGCUUCCUCAGCUGCGCGGCCGCCCCACAGCGCUCCCUGCGCGGACUGCUCCUGCAGCAGGCCCCGCUCCAUCGGAGGACACCAUAGAAAGUCCCAGAUCGGUCCGGUUCGGUACCGGCCCGUCCGCCUCCCAGGCUGCUUCUGGCGGGCUGAACCAGCUCUCCUGCGACCGGAUAUUAACCUCCACGCCAUGAAUGGUGGAUUAAUUUAAAAAAACAAGCAGAAAAAGAGGAAAUCUGUAACGGGAGUACUUACAAUCAUCCACCCGUCCGCUGUGCUGCGCCUCGCUCUCUCUCCUGCUGGCUGUGAUGCUCUCUCUACCAGAGCCGCUCCCUCCUGCCGCUUCAGCUCUCUGACGUCAAGUGUGACGUGACCCUGAAACGACGAACAACCAGCAUGUGUGGGAGGGAGCAGAGCAUGCCGGAGCGUGUUGACACCAACACGUCUCAACCCUCACACACGGGUCAUGUUCCUGUUGCUACCGAGUGCUCAGUUACUGAACCAAAUCUACGUCCAGCGGCCUGAAGCUGGAGUCCGAGCCGUCAGCCGACGCCCUGAAGAACAAGGUGUUUUCUGCAGAGAUCCAGUGUCGUGAAGCCACACCUAAACAGGAAGGAGUCACCAAGAAUAGAGUGGACCUCCACCCAACCAGCUUCCCUUCCACUGACACACACUUCCUCUAAGUCAGUUUGAUGCUUUAUGUAAAUUCCUGCUUUUGCUUUUUUCAGUUAAAAC
Molecule: long non-coding RNA, 925 nt
Organism: Cyprinodon tularosa
Lineage: Eukaryota; Metazoa; Chordata; Actinopteri; Cyprinodontiformes; Cyprinodontidae
Exons: 3
Source: RefSeq, a predicted model, not a curated record